GACGAACGCUGGCGGCGUGCUUAACACAUGCAAGUCGAACGGGGUGCCCAUGAAAGAGAUUUCGGUCAAUGGAGUGGGUUACUUAGUGGCGGACGGGUGAGUAACGCGUGAGGAACCUGCCUUUCAGAGGGGGACAACAGCUGGAAACGGCUGCUAAUACCGCAUAACAUAUUGUUGUCGCAUGGCAAUGAUAUCAAAGAUUUAUCGCUGAGAGAUGGCCUCGCGUCUGAUUAGCUAGUUGGUAGGGUAACGGCCUACCAAGGCGACGAUCAGUAGCCGGACUGAGAGGUUGGCCGGCCACAUUGGGACUGAGAUACGGCCCAG
Molecule: ribosomal RNA, 324 nt
Filed under: uncultured bacterium
Lineage: Bacteria
Description: bacterial SSU rRNA
Rfam family: Bacterial small subunit ribosomal RNA
Source: RNAcentral